RNAcentral lists this transfer RNA (92 nucleotides) under Anaerolineaceae bacterium oral taxon 439. RNAcentral's name for it is "tRNA-Ser". It matches the Rfam family "tRNA". Rfam says of the family: Transfer RNA (tRNA) molecules are approximately 80 nucleotides in length. Their secondary structure includes four short double-helical elements and three loops (D, anti-codon, and T loops). The record is from RNAcentral. Lineage: Bacteria; Bacillati; Chloroflexota; Anaerolineae; Anaerolineales; Anaerolineaceae.
GGGGAGGUGCCGGAGUGGCUGAACGGGGCCGCCUGCUAAGUGGUUAUCGGGGUAAAACCCGAUCGGGGGUUCGAAUCCCCCCUUCCCCGCUA